GGUUAAGUGACUAAGCGUACACGGUGGAUGCCUGGGCAGUCAGAGGCGAUGAAGGACGUACUAACUUGCGAUAAGCGGUGAUGAGGCAGUAAGAGCCACUUGAGUCACCGAUUUCCGAAUGGGGAAACCCAGCUGCAUAAGCAGUUAUCAUCAGGUGAAUACAUAGCCUGGUGAGGCGAACCGGGGGAACUGAAACAUCUAAGUACCCCGAGGAAGAGAAAUCAACCGAGAUUCCGGCAGUAGCGGCGAGCGAAACCGGAUUAGCCCUUAAGCGUUUUUUGUGUCAGGUGAAGGCUCUGGAAAGUGCCGCGAUACAGGGUGACAGCCCCGUAACCGACGAUACCUUAAACGUGAAAACGAGUAGGACGGGACACGUGUUAUCUUGUCUGAAGAUGGGGGGACCAUCCUCCAAGGCUAAAUACUCCUGACUGACCGAUAGUGAACCAGUACCGUGAGGGAAAGGCGAAAAGAACCCCUGUGAGGGGAGUGAAAUAGAACCUGAAACCGUGUACGUACAAGCAGUAGGAGCCC
This 531-nucleotide ribosomal RNA is filed under the name Photobacterium sp. 1_MG-2023. RNAcentral describes it as "partial 23S ribosomal RNA". It matches the Rfam family "Bacterial large subunit ribosomal RNA", at positions 1 to 582 of the family's 2925-position model. The record is from RNAcentral. Lineage: Bacteria; Pseudomonadati; Pseudomonadota; Gammaproteobacteria; Vibrionales; Vibrionaceae.